This 87-nucleotide non-coding RNA is filed under the name Sinomonas atrocyanea. RNAcentral describes it as "ZTP sequence". It matches the Rfam family "ZMP/ZTP riboswitch aptamer (pfl RNA motif)". From Rfam's summary of the family: Previously known as pfl RNA. The record is from Rfam by way of RNAcentral. Lineage: Bacteria; Bacillati; Actinomycetota; Actinomycetes; Micrococcales; Micrococcaceae.
UGGCUGCGUCGCGACUGGCGUUGGGUGGAUGACCACCGGGGAGCGGCAGACAUGGGACACCGCGGAUCGUACGCCUGGGCCGGGGUC